RNAcentral lists this ribosomal RNA (253 nucleotides) under uncultured bacterium. RNAcentral describes it as "partial 16S ribosomal RNA". It matches the Rfam family "Bacterial small subunit ribosomal RNA", at positions 524 to 776 of the family's 1533-position model. The record is from RNAcentral.
UACGGGGGGGGCAAGCGUUGUUCGGAAUUACUGGGCGUAAAGGGCUCGUAGGUGGCCAACUAAGUCAGACGUGAAAUCCCUCAGCUUAACUGGGGAACUGCGUCUGAUACUGGAUGGCUUGAGUUUGGGAGAGGGAUGCGGAAUUCCAGGUGUAGCGGUGAAAUGCGUAGAGAUCGGGAGGAACACCUGUGGCGAAGGCGGCCUGCUGGGCAGUAGCUGACGCUGAUGCGCGACAGCGUGGGGAGCAAACAGG